RNAcentral lists this transfer RNA (84 nucleotides) under Candidatus Zixiibacteriota bacterium. Its description in RNAcentral is "tRNA-Ser". It matches the Rfam family "tRNA". Rfam says of the family: Transfer RNA (tRNA) molecules are approximately 80 nucleotides in length. Their secondary structure includes four short double-helical elements and three loops (D, anti-codon, and T loops). Lineage: Bacteria; Pseudomonadati; Candidatus Zixiibacteriota. The record is from RNAcentral.
GGAGGGCUAGCCCUAAUUGGUAAGGCAGCAGACUUGAAAUCUGCCGACCGCAAGGUCAUGGGGGUUCGAGUCCCUCGCCCUCCG